Molecule: long non-coding RNA, 1503 nt
Organism: Naja naja (Indian cobra)
Lineage: Eukaryota; Metazoa; Chordata; Lepidosauria; Squamata; Elapidae
Source: Ensembl
UUCCGUUUAGUGACUGUCCAAAGUUACAACGGCACCGGGAAAAAAAAGGCGACCUUACAACCAGUUUUCACACUGAUGACCUUUGCAGCAUCCCCUUAACCACAAGACCAAAAUUCAGACGCUUGGCAACUUGGCUCAUAUUUAUGACGGUUGCAGCGUCCCAGGGUUACGUGAUUCCCUUUUGCAUCCUUCUGGCAAGCCAAGUCAAGGGGGAGAGGCUGGAUUCGCUUAACGACCGUGUUGCUAAUUUAACAACUGCCGGGAUUCCCUGAAGAGCUGCGAAAAAACACCACUUCUGAGGGAUGUGCUGCCUUCUCUCGCUGCUGUUUCAUUGCCUGUACUUAAAACCGAGGAGAAAAUUUCAUUAUGGCGGUUCCCCCUUCAACCUAUAACAUCAGCAGUGGUGGCUGAGCUGAAGUUGCUGCAUUCCAAGGAGAGAAUGUAUAAAAGGAAUGGCCUCAUGGCCAACGUGACCGUGACUUCCGCCACUCCAGAGGUAAUACCAGUUUCCGUUCCAACUCGGAACAAACCAUCGCUGAAAUUGGGCAUCCCUUAGGAGACCGUCUAACGUUGAAUUUCUCCCGAUUAUUUAAGAAAGUAGCGCUACACAGAGAAUGAUUAAUUUUGAACGCUACUGUCCCAACCGUCUUUAAUGGGGCUGUGAUUCUGCCUAGACCGGUCAUGGAGUUUGGUGGGAAAUGUCCCAUUUAGAAUAGAAUAACGGAGCUGGAAGGGGACCUUGGAGGUCUUCUAGUCCAACCCACUGCCCAGGCAGGAAACCCUACACCACUUCAGGCAAAUGUUUAUCCAGCCUCUUCUUAAAAACUCCCAGUGUUGCAGCAUUCACAACUUCUGGAGGCCAGGAGUUCCACUGGUUAAUUGUUCUCAACUGUCAGGAAUUUCGUCCUUAGUUCCAGGUUGAUUCUCACCUUGGUUGGUUUCCACCCGUUGCUUCUUGUCCUGCCUUCUGGUGCUUUGGGAAACAGAUUGAGCCACCUCUCCUUUCUCCCCCCCUUGCAAAUGAACAUGGAGUCCUUGGUGCUGUCUGAGCUUGGUAGUUUCCUUGCAGACGUUUCAUUACCCAACUAGGUAACAUCAUCAGUGCUAGAAAUGAGUGGGGUGUCUGGAGUGAAGGAGGAGGAGGAGGACUGUGGGGUCCUUGGUGCUCUCUGAGCUUGGUGGUUUUCUUGCAGACAUGUCAUGACCCACCUAAGCCAGUGGUAGUAGGGAGUGCAAAGUGCUAACAGGGAGAGCAAUGCCCACUCCCCACAAAUCCUGAUGGUAUUACCUAGUUUGGUAAUGAAACGUCCGCAAGAAGCUCAGAAAGGACCAAGGACUCCAUAGUUAGUCUAGUUUAUUGUCAUUGCACCUCGUACCGUGAGAUUUAAAUGCCAUCUUCAGUGUACGUUACAACUAUAAAAAUAAAACACAAACACACAAUCCUUUGCUUCUAUGCCAUUGAAUUGAAUAGAAUUCAAUUAAAUAGAAUGCCUUAAAGUCAAC